UACGAAGGGGGCUAGCGUUGUUCGGAAUUACUGGGCGUAAAGCGUUUGUAGGCGGUUGAACAAGUCAGUGGUGAAAGCCCAGGGCUUAACCCUGGAAUUGCCAUUGAAACUGUUCAGCUAGAGAGUGUUAGAGGAAAGUGGAAUUCCUAGUGUAGGAGUGAAAUGCGUAGAUAUGCGGAGGAACACCGAUGGCGAAGGCAAUCCCCUGGGCCUGUACUGACGCUCAUGCACGAAAGCGUGGGGAGCAAACAGG
RNAcentral lists this ribosomal RNA (253 nucleotides) under uncultured bacterium. Its description in RNAcentral is "partial 16S ribosomal RNA". It matches the Rfam family "Bacterial small subunit ribosomal RNA", at positions 524 to 776 of the family's 1533-position model. The record is from RNAcentral.